This 1108-nucleotide long non-coding RNA is filed under the name Homo sapiens (human). RNAcentral describes it as "HSALNT0306859". The record is from RNAcentral. Lineage: Eukaryota; Metazoa; Chordata; Mammalia; Primates; Hominidae.
AGACCCUUCUUAAAUAUUAUCGUGUAUACCAGCUUUAUUAUUUAGCUCUGCAAUACUGCUAAAUUGGUCAAUUACUUCCCUGCCUCCCCACCCUCCAACUGAAUUCUCACCACCCUUGAGGGAAAACAGUCUGGGUUCCCUGUGGAACAUCAUUUCUCAAAACUGUAUUUUGGGGCUUGCUUUCUCAUUUUUCCUUUCCAUUUCAGAUAUCCUUACUGCUGUCUUUGGGCUCUUUAAACACUGCCUUUUUUCCUUUUUCGAUCACACCCAAAAACUUUUCUCAAAAAUUACAUGUAAAUUUAAAAAUUUACAAAUUAAAUUUAAAAUUGAAAUUUUAAAAAUCCCGACUCUCCCUAAUUUCAGGAAGCAUGCAUUUAUUAUACAUAACAAGACGUGAAAGCCGCAAGAGUUUCAGCCUAAACACUGAAGACCCCGCGAAGUGAAUCCAGCUGCUGCUCUACAAGCAGCAACAACAACUGGGAAGCCUUCUCAGCUACACUUCGGGGCACUGGUCCAACCCCACGCAAAAUCCCUCGUUUCCCUUAGCGUGCAGAACCACGGGCACGGUGAUGAUGGUGACAAGCGCAGCAGCACCCAGCAGUCCCAGAAGAACCUUCCACGGUGUCUGCAAGCCGAGCAGAUCAAGUCCAAUUAGAGGGAAGCGUGUGGCCCCAGUUUCCGUAGGAGGGUCGGGGCUGCUCCAGAGGCAGCAGGAUUUGCAGGAAGGAAGACUGUACACAGAGAAUAAAUAACUUGGCCAAGCCAUUCAGCUAGGAAGUUGUAGAUCCUAAAUUAAGAGUUCAAGGUCUUAAUGGCUACUCUAUGCGGCCUCUCAUAGUCUUUUCAAGGGUUUUGGAGAAGAAUAAAAGAUCAGGUAUGGCUUCUCCCUCCCCCAGCUCUCUAUUGUUCCCUAAAGGAUUAUUCAUUCGUUCAUUCAUUCCUACAUCCUCCCAUUUAUUCCAGUCAUCCACAGAUGUUUGAGUGGUUACAAUGUGCCAGCCUCCCUUCUAGGUACUGGAGAUAAAGUGGGACAAGAGAGGUGAGGUCUGGACCCUUGGCACUUUCACGAUAAAAUACACAGGUAAACAUUUGCCUUUAGGGCCCCCUG